RNAcentral lists this unclassified non-coding RNA (337 nucleotides) under soil metagenome. Its description in RNAcentral is "partial contains 5.8S ribosomal RNA, internal transcribed spacer 2, and large subunit ribosomal RNA". The stretch from base 1 to 120 matches the Rfam family "5.8S ribosomal RNA", at positions 35 to 154 of the family's 154-position model. The record is from RNAcentral.
GAUGAAGAACGUAGCGAAAUGCGAUAAGUAAUGUGAAUUGCAGAAUUCAGUGAAUCAUCGAAUCUUUGAACGCACAUUGCGCCCGCCAGUAUUCUGGCGGGCAUGUCUGUUCGAGCGUCAUUUCAACCAUCAAGCCCCCGGGCUUGUGUUGGGGACCUGCGGCUGCCCGCAGGCCCUGAAAACCAGUGGCGGGCUCGCUGUCACACCGAGCGUAGUAGCAUCAUCUCGCUCAGGGCGUGCUGCGGGUUCCGGCCGUUAAAAAGCCUCUAAUACCCAAGGUUGACCUCGGAUCAGGUAGGAAGACCCGCUGAACUUAAGCAUAUCAAUAAGCGGAGGA